GUGUCAGCCGCCGCGGUAAUACGGAGGGUGCAAACGUUGCUCGGAAUCAUUGGGCGUAAAGCGUGUGUAGGCGGCCUGUUAAGUCGGGUGUGAAAGCCCCGGGCUCAACCCGGGAAGUGCAUUCGAUACUGGCAGGCUUGAGUACGGGAGAGGGUCGCGGAAUUCCCGGUGUAGAGGUGAAAUUCGUAGAUAUCGGGAGGAACACCAGUGGCGAAGGCGGCGACCUGGACCGAUACUGACGCUGAGACACGAAAGCGUGGGGAGCAAACAGGAUUAGAUACCCUGGUAGUCCACGCUGUAAACGAUGGGUGCUAGGUGUCGUGGGUAUUGACCCCUGCGGUGCCGAAGUUAACGCAUUAAGCACCCCGCCUGGGGAGUACGGCCGCAAGGCUAAA
This 395-nucleotide ribosomal RNA is filed under the name uncultured bacterium. Its description in RNAcentral is "bacterial SSU rRNA". It matches the Rfam family "Bacterial small subunit ribosomal RNA", at positions 505 to 898 of the family's 1533-position model. The record is from RNAcentral.